CAUACACAAUGUCCCAGGAUUCUGAUA
RNAcentral lists this unclassified non-coding RNA (27 nucleotides) under Mus musculus (house mouse). Its description in RNAcentral is "oocyte_clustered_small_RNA8260". Lineage: Eukaryota; Metazoa; Chordata; Mammalia; Rodentia; Muridae. The record is from RNAcentral.